AACACUGUUAACCUGCGGUACCUGCGGAAGGAUCAUUACAGAGUGUUUAACCCCCUAUAAAAUGGUGGGUCUAACCUCCCGUCCUUUGCUGGGUCCCCCUUCUGGAGGACUUUCAAGACUUUCUGCUUCGGCGGGGUAUACCCGCCGGAACACCCUCAAAAAAUUCUUGAUCAAAAUGGUUCGGUCCGAGAAACUUUUUGUGAAAAUUAGCGAAAAACUUUCAACAACGGAUCUCAGAUC
This 240-nucleotide unclassified non-coding RNA is filed under the name soil metagenome. Its description in RNAcentral is "partial contains 5.8S ribosomal RNA, internal transcribed spacer 2, and large subunit ribosomal RNA". The record is from RNAcentral.